This 683-nucleotide ribosomal RNA is filed under the name uncultured endomycorrhiza of Neottia nidus-avis. Its description in RNAcentral is "eukaryotic LSU rRNA". It matches the Rfam family "Eukaryotic large subunit ribosomal RNA", at positions 1 to 667 of the family's 3401-position model. Lineage: Eukaryota; Fungi; Basidiomycota; Agaricomycetes; Sebacinales; Sebacinaceae. The record is from RNAcentral.
CUUGACCUCAAAUCGAGUAGGACUACCCGCUGAACUUAAGCAUAUCAAUAAGCGGAGGAAAAGAAACUAACAAGGAUUCCCCUAGUAACGGCGAGUGAAGAGGGAAGAGCUCAAAUUUUGAAUCUGGCGUCUUCGGCGUCCGAAUUGUAAUCUAGAGAAGUGUUUUCCGUGACGGACCGUGCAUAAGUCUCCUGGAAUGGAGUGUCAUAGAGGGUGAGAAUCCCGUAUAUGGCACGGACUCCCGUUGCUCUGCGAUACACUCUCGACGAGUCGAGUUGUUUGGGAAUGCAGCUCUAAAUGGGUGGUAAAUGCCAUCUAAAGCUAAAUAUUGGCGAGAGACCGAUAGCGAACAAGUACCGUGAGGGAAAGAUGAAAAGCACUUUGGAAAGAGAGUGAAACAGUACGUGAAAUUGUUGAAAGGGAAACGCUUGAAGUCAGUCGCGCCGUUCGGGAUUCAGCCUUGCUUCUGCUUGGUUUACUUCCCGUUGGGUGGGUCAACAUCAGUUUCGGUCGGAGGAGAAAGGCUUGGGGAAGGUGGCAGCAUUCGUGCUGUGUUAUAGCCCCUUGUUGUAUACUUCGACUGGGACUGAGGACCGCAGCACGCCUUUGGCCGGGGUUCGCCCACGUACGUGCUUAGGAUGUUGGCAUAAUGGCUUUAAGCGACCCGUCUUGAAACACGGACC